AAGUCGUAACAAGGUUUCCGUAGGUGAACCUGCGGAAGGAUCAUUAACUAGUAUUGAAGUCCACGGGGAUCAGGCUUUCCGAAAGGAGGGCGGGGGGAUAUUUGGUUCCUCCUGCUUGGGCAGACUGGAGAGCAUGGUGUAGCCACUUUUGUUGGCUACGUUAUGUUUGGCCUCUGCUGAUCGAGCUUGUCACCUGAAUUCUACUACCCUUGCUUUUUGCGCACCCAUUGUUUCCUCGGUAGGCUUGCCUGCCAGUAGGACCACUUAAAACUCUUUGUGAUUGCAAUCAGCGUCAGAAACAACGUAAUCGUUACAACUUUCAACAACGGAUCUCUUGGUUCUG
This 343-nucleotide unclassified non-coding RNA is filed under the name Plenodomus biglobosus. RNAcentral describes it as "Leptosphaeria biglobosa partial internal transcribed spacer region". The stretch from base 1 to 46 matches the Rfam family "Eukaryotic small subunit ribosomal RNA", at positions 1786 to 1831 of the family's 1831-position model. Lineage: Eukaryota; Fungi; Ascomycota; Dothideomycetes; Pleosporales; Leptosphaeriaceae. The record is from RNAcentral.